Molecule: ribosomal RNA, 497 nt
Filed under: uncultured bacterium
Lineage: Bacteria
Description: partial 16S ribosomal RNA
Rfam family: Bacterial small subunit ribosomal RNA
Source: RNAcentral
GAUGAACGCUGGCGGCGUGCCUAAUACAUGCAAGUCGAGCGAACGGACGAGAAGCUUGCUUUUCUGAUGUUAGCGGCGGACGGGUGAGUAACACGUGGAUAACCUACCUAUAAGACUGGGAUAACUUCGGGAAACCGGAGCUAAUACCGGAUAAUAUUUUGAACCGCAUGGUUCAAAAGUGAAAGACGGUCUUGCUGUCACUUAUAGAUGGAUCCGCGCUGCAUUAGCUAGUUGGUAAGGUAACGGCUUACCAAGGCAACGAUGCAUAGCCGACCUGAGAGGAUGAUCAGCCACACUGGAACUGAGACACGGUCCAGACUCCUACGGGAGGCAGCAGUAGGGAAUCUUCCGCAAUGGGCGAAAGCCUGACGGAGCAACGCCGCGUGAGUGAUGAAGGUCUUCGGAUCGUAAAACUCUGUUAUUAGGGAAGAACAGAUGUGUAAGUAACUGUGGACAUCUUGACGGUACCUAAACAGAAAGCCCCGGCUAACUACGUG